CUGUCAGACCCAAGGAUGCUUCUCCUUGGUAUAAUGCCGAAACACGUUCCUUUAAACAAGCAGCACGUAAAUUAGAGAGGCUAUGGCGCCGUUCCAGCUCAGAGCAUUCUUUUAGUGCCUGGAAAAACAGCUUAUUGGCCUAUAAGCAGGCCCUGCGUAAGGCUAAAACUAGUUACUACUCAUCCUUAAUCGAGAAAAACAAGAAUAACCCUAGAUUCCUGUUCAGCACUGUUGCCAGGCUGACAAACAGUCACAGUUCAGUAGAACCCUCUAUCCCACUUACUCUCAGCUGUGAUGACUUCCUACAAUUCUUUAACGAUAAAAUCUCAACUAUUAGGAACAAAAUAGAUGAACUACUUCCAAAUAUUAGGUCUGACAAAGCACAGGCUACUAACCAAGAAUCUCUUCUAAACCCCCCUACAAUGUUAGAUAA
This is a long non-coding RNA of Sphaeramia orbicularis (orbiculate cardinalfish), 433 nucleotides long. RefSeq lists it as uncharacterized. The transcript is spliced from 3 exons. The record is from RefSeq and is a predicted model, not a curated record. Lineage: Eukaryota; Metazoa; Chordata; Actinopteri; Kurtiformes; Apogonidae.